Molecule: microRNA precursor, 174 nt
Filed under: Podarcis lilfordi (Lilford's wall lizard)
Lineage: Eukaryota; Metazoa; Chordata; Lepidosauria; Squamata; Lacertidae
Source: RNAcentral
AUGUAGCGAGCUGAGUGGGGAGGAGAGAGGGACAGAGAGCCUGCUUGCUUUAAAGGAACCAACUGGACAGGAGCCGAUUACACUCGUGUAAGCGGCUCCUCUCCUCUCCCGCUUUGCUCCUUUAAAGAAGCAGGCUCUCUGUCCCUCUCUCCUCCCCACUCAGCGGCUCUUCUC